This 586-nucleotide ribosomal RNA is filed under the name uncultured bacterium. Its description in RNAcentral is "partial 16S ribosomal RNA". It matches the Rfam family "Bacterial small subunit ribosomal RNA", at positions 355 to 1375 of the family's 1533-position model. The record is from RNAcentral.
UGGGGAAUUUUGGACAAUGGGCGAAAGCCUGAUCCAGCAAUGCCGCGUGUGUGAAGAAGGCCUUCGGGUUGUAAAGCACUUUUGUCCGGAAAGAAAUCCUUGGCUCUAAUACAGUCGGGGGAUGACGGUACCGGAAGAAUAAGCACCGGCUAACUACGUGCCAGCAGCCGCGGUAAUACGUAGGGUGCAAGCGUUAAUCGGAAUUACUGGGCGUAAAGCGUGCGCAGGCGGUUUGCUAAGACCGAUGUGAAAUCCCCGGGCUCAACCUGGGAACUGCAUUGGUGACUGGCAGGCUAGAGUAUGGCAGAGGGGGGUAGAAUUCCAUGUGUAGCAGUGAAAUGCGUAGAGAUGUGGAGGAAUACCGAUGGCGAAGGCAGCCCCCUGGGCCAAUACUGACGCUCAUGCACGAAAGCGUGGGGAGCAAACAGGAUUAGAUACCCUGGUAGUCCACGCCCUAAAACGAUGUCAACUAGUUGUUGGGGAUUCAUUUCCUUAGUAACGUAGCUAACGCGUGAAGUUGACCGCCUGGGGAGUACGGUCGCAAGAUUAAAACUCAAAUGAAUUGACGGGGUCAUAGCUGUUUCCU